CGGGUUUUCUGUAGAGUUAUCUACUAUGCUAUCAUCCAGCUACGGAUCUCUCAACAGCAAUUGCAUUCUUCCGGUAUUGUUUUCUUAUCUACAAGACAACUGCACUGGCAGCUCCUUAUUCUACCUAUUGCACGACUUGAUCUCGUCUUAUUUGUAUCAUAAACAUCAACCAGCUAUCCUGUUCGUUGGUUGCAUCUAGUUAUUGACAUCAUUGGUUGGUGGUGGAUGUUGU
Molecule: long non-coding RNA, 232 nt
Filed under: Elaeis guineensis (African oil palm)
Lineage: Eukaryota; Viridiplantae; Streptophyta; Magnoliopsida; Arecales; Arecaceae
Description: long non-coding RNA (EGUI_LNC000600)
Source: RNAcentral